RNAcentral lists this ribosomal RNA (1396 nucleotides) under Parabacteroides distasonis. RNAcentral's name for it is "bacterial SSU rRNA". It matches the Rfam family "Bacterial small subunit ribosomal RNA". Lineage: Bacteria; Pseudomonadati; Bacteroidota; Bacteroidia; Bacteroidales; Tannerellaceae. The record is from RNAcentral.
CCUAUCAGAGGGGGAUAACCCGGCGAAAGUCGGACUAAUACCGCAUGAAGCAGGGGCCCCGCAUGGGGAUAUUUGCUAAAGAUUCAUCGCUGAUAGAUAGGCAUGCGUUCCAUUAGGCAGUUGGCGGGGUAACGGCCCACCAAACCGACGAUGGAUAGGGGUUCUGAGAGGAAGGUCCCCCACAUUGGUACUGAGACACGGACCAAACUCCUACGGGAGGCAGCAGUGAGGAAUAUUGGUCAAUGGCCGAGAGGCUGAACCAGCCAAGUCGCGUGAGGGAUGAAGGUUCUAUGGAUCGUAAACCUCUUUUAUAAGGGAAUAAAGUGCGGGACGUGUCCCGUUUUGUAUGUACCUUAUGAAUAAGGAUCGGCUAACUCCGUGCCAGCAGCCGCGGUAAUACGGAGGAUCCGAGCGUUAUCCGGAUUUAUUGGGUUUAAAGGGUGCGUAGGCGGCCUUUUAAGUCAGCGGUGAAAGUCUGUGGCUCAACCAUAGAAUUGCCGUUGAAACUGGGGGGCUUGAGUAUGUUUGAGGCAGGCGGAAUGCGUGGUGUAGCGGUGAAAUGCAUAGAUAUCACGCAGAACCCCGAUUGCGAAGGCAGCCUGCCAAGCCAUUACUGACGCUGAUGCACGAAAGCGUGGGGAUCAAACAGGAUUAGAUACCCUGGUAGUCCACGCAGUAAACGAUGAUCACUAGCUGUUUGCGAUACACUGUAAGCGGCACAGCGAAAGCGUUAAGUGAUCCACCUGGGGAGUACGCCGGCAACGGUGAAACUCAAAGGAAUUGACGGGGGCCCGCACAAGCGGAGGAACAUGUGGUUUAAUUCGAUGAUACGCGAGGAACCUUACCCGGGUUUGAACGCAUUCGGACCGAGGUGGAAACACCUUUUCUAGCAAUAGCCGUUUGCGAGGUGCUGCAUGGUUGUCGUCAGCUCGUGCCGUGAGGUGUCGGCUUAAGUGCCAUAACGAGCGCAACCCUUGCCACUAGUUACUAACAGGUAAAGCUGAGGACUCUGGUGGGACUGCCAGCGUAAGCUGCGAGGAAGGCGGGGAUGACGUCAAAUCAGCACGGCCCUUACAUCCGGGGCGACACACGUGUUACAAUGGCGUGGACAAAGGGAAGCCACCUGGCGACAGGGAGCGAAUCCCCAAACCACGUCUCAGUUCGGAUCGGAGUCUGCAACCCGACUCCGUGAAGCUGGAUUCGCUAGUAAUCGCGCAUCAGCCAUGGCGCGGUGAAUACGUUCCCGGGCCUUGUACACACCGCCCGUCAAGCCAUGGGAGCCGGGGGUACCUGAAGUCCGUAACCGCGAGGAUCGGCCUAGGGUAAAACUGGUGACUGGGGCUAAGUCGUAACAAGGUAGCCGUACCGGAAGGUGCGGCUGGAACACCUCCUUUCU